RNAcentral lists this non-coding RNA (30 nucleotides) under Mus musculus (house mouse). Lineage: Eukaryota; Metazoa; Chordata; Mammalia; Rodentia; Muridae. The record is from RNAcentral.
UGAGAGAGGAAUUCUAUUUUUUGCCUGAAA